Molecule: long non-coding RNA, 226 nt
Filed under: Nicotiana benthamiana
Lineage: Eukaryota; Viridiplantae; Streptophyta; Magnoliopsida; Solanales; Solanaceae
Description: long non-coding RNA (NBEN_LNC023118)
Source: RNAcentral
UCAAAUGUCAGAUGAACUUCAAAUUCUGAAAGAAGAUUACAAAUCUUCAGCUUCUCUGCCGUAUCUGGAUUCAUUAAAUUUACUUUCAGACUCGUCUGUGGAUGAAGUAGUUUCAAACUCUUCAAGAAGUUUUGGAUUUACAGAUGAAAGCAUGUCAUCGUGUUUUAGUUCUCGCAACUCAAACAUGGAUCCACCUGCAUAUAUUAAUGCUUUGCAUGCCCGAAUA